UAGGGAAUCUUCCGCAAUGGGCGAAAGCUUGACGGAGCAACGCCGCGUGAGUGAUGAAGGUCUUCGGAUCGUAAAACUCUGUUAUUAGGGAAGAACAAAUGUGUAAGUAACUAUGCACGUCUUGACGGUACCUAAUCAGAAAGCCACGGCUAACUACGUGCCAGCAGCCGCGGUAAUACGUAGGUGGCAAGCGUUAUCCGGAAUUAGUGGGCGUAAAGCGCGCGUAGGCGGUUAGAAAAGUCUGAAGUGAAAGGCAGUGGCUCAACCAUUGUAGGCUAUGGAAACUGUUUAACUUGAGUGCAGAAGGGGAGAGUGGAAUUCCAUGUGUAGCGGUGAAAUGCGUAGAUAUAUGGAGGAACACCGGUGGCGAAAGCGGCUAUCUGGUCUGUAACUGACGCUGAGGCUCGAAAGCGUGGGGAGCGAACAGG
This 428-nucleotide ribosomal RNA is filed under the name Bacteroidota bacterium. RNAcentral describes it as "Bacteroidetes bacterium partial 16S ribosomal RNA". It matches the Rfam family "Bacterial small subunit ribosomal RNA", at positions 355 to 776 of the family's 1533-position model. The record is from RNAcentral. Lineage: Bacteria; Pseudomonadati; Bacteroidota.